Molecule: long non-coding RNA, 1110 nt
Filed under: Sus scrofa (pig)
Lineage: Eukaryota; Metazoa; Chordata; Mammalia; Artiodactyla; Suidae
Description: lncRNA (ENSSSCG00015057508.1)
Source: RNAcentral
AUGAGCUGUGGUGUAGGUCACAGACGCGGCUCGGAUCCCGCGUUGCUGUGGCUCUGGUGUAGGCCGGUGGCUACAGCUCCGAUCGGACCCCUAGCCUGGGAGCCUCCAUAUGCCAUGAGCGCAGCCCUAAAAAGACCAAAAAAAAAAAAAAAAAAAAAAAAGCAUAAGCAGAAGAGAGGAAGCAGAAAGAAAGGAAGGAAGGAAAAGGAGAAGAAGGAAAUCCUGUCUUGGGCUGCUUUCAGGUGGCAGUGCCCGGCACUCUACCCACUCUCCAGGCUGCUGAGGUUAAUAGUUGGUCAGAGCCCAAGAGCCGUGAGGCUCUUCUCACGUCUGCUCCUGGGCACAGCUACUGUGGAUUCGGAAGCACGGAGGCAUCCGCUUAAGGGAACCCCUUUCCACUCUGCUCUUAGUUUCCAGAGAUGGAGUCUCUUGCCUUUGGCUGAAAUGAAAACCCAGGUUUUCUUUUUCCCUCCCAAAUUGAUACACCGGACCCUCGGAUGCCUUUGAGAACUGAAGGAGCUUGAUGGCCGGUCCCUGCGAGCCAGUGCCGAAUUGGCAGCUGCUGGGUCGGAGGUAGGAACGUCUGGAUUGUGCAGUCAGACACUAAUACCCCGGGAGCUGGAAGCACAGGGGUUGGUCCUCCUGUCCAAAGGAACAAGGAAACGCUGUCUCGGGGAGCUCCUUUCGGGGGAGGGGUGGGCAUUCUCUUGCUCUUAUUAAUGAUUUUAACUGAUGGAGCCACACUGCAGCCUCUCAACUCUGCAGGAAAAAAAACCCUAAUGCCGGUGAAAGUGGAGACAGUUUGCCCCGUGGUGUGAAAGGUGAAAGACUUGCCUUGUGCAGGCAACGGACUGCAUUUUCAAGAAUUUGCGAAUAGGUCUUAGAAUAACAACAGAAUAUUCCCAAGGACUGUUCUUUUGAAAACUUGGUCCGGUGGACUCAGCCGAGCAGGAGAGUCAUCAUAUGCUUACCAGCAGCAUCUAAUUAUGGGCAGAGUUUGCAGCCUGCGUGCCACCUGAUGGGAACCUGCAGAUCACAGCUUAGCUGUAGCUCUGACUGCCAGCCAGCAUCAAUGUUCUGUUCUUUAACUCAUCAGAGAAGUAAUAGUCA